RNAcentral lists this ribosomal RNA (1455 nucleotides) under uncultured organism. RNAcentral describes it as "16S ribosomal RNA". It matches the Rfam family "Bacterial small subunit ribosomal RNA". The record is from RNAcentral.
GAUGAACGCUUGCUACAGGCUUAACACAUGCAAGUCGAGGGGCAGCAUUUUAGUUUGCUUGCAAACUGAAGAUGGCGACCGGCGCACGGGUGAGUAACACGUAUCCAACCUGCCGAUAACUCCGGAAUAGCCUUUCGAAAGAAAGAUUAAUACCGGAUAGCAUACGAAUAUCGCAUGAUAUUUUUAUUAAAGAAUUUCGGUUAUCGAUGGGGAUGCGUUCCAUUAGUUUGUUGGCGGGGUAACGGCCCACCAAGACUACGAUGGAUAGGGGUUCUGAGAGGAAGGUCCCCCACAUUGGAACUGAGACACGGUCCAAACUCCUACGGGAGGCAGCAGUGAGGAAUAUUGGUCAAUGGGCGAGAGCCUGAACCAGCCAAGUAGCGUGAAGGAUGAAGGCUCUAUGGGUCGUAAACUUCUUUUAUAUGGGAAUAAAGUUUUCCACGUGUGGAAUUUUGUAUGUACCAUAUGAAUAAGGAUCGGCUAACUCCGUGCCAGCAGCCGCGGUAAUACGGAGGAUCCGAGCGUUAUCCGGAUUUAUUGGGUUUAAAGGGAGCGUAGGUGGAUUGUUAAGUCAGUUGUGAAAGUUUGCGGCUCAACCGUAAAAUUGCAGUUGAAACUGGCAGUCUUGAGUACAGUAGAGGUGGGCGGAAUUCGUGGUGUAGCGGUGAAAUGCUUAGAUAUCACGAAGAACUCCGAUUGCGAAGGCAGCUCACUAGACUGUCACUGACACUGAUGCUCGAAAGUGUGGGUAUCAAACAGGAUUAGAUACCCUGGUAGUCCACACAGUAAACGAUGAAUACUCGCUGUUUGCGAUAUACAGUAAGCGGCCAAGCGAAAGCAUUAAGUAUUCCACCUGGGGAGUACGCCGGCAACGGUGAAACUCAAAGGAAUUGACGGGGGCCCGCACAAGCGGAGGAACAUGUGGUUUAAUUUGAUGAUACGCGAGGAACCUUACCCGGGCUUAAAUUGCAACAGAAUAUAUUGGAAACAGUAUAGCCGUAAGGCUGUUGUGAAGGUGCUGCAUGGUUGUCGUCAGCUCGUGCCGUGAGGUGUCGGCUUAAGUGCCAUAACGAGCGCAACCCUUAUCUUUAGUUACUAACAGGUUAUGCUGAGGACUCUAGAGAGACUGCCGUCGUAAGAUGUGAGGAAGGUGGGGAUGACGUCAAAUCAGCACGGCCCUUACGUCCGGGGCUACACACGUGUUACAAUGGGGGGUACAGAAGGCGGCUACCUGGUGACAGGAUGCUAAUCCCAAAAACCUCUCUCAGUUCGGAUCGAAGUCUGCAACCCGACUUCGUGAAGCUGGAUUCGCUAGUAAUCGCGCAUCAGCCAUGGCGCGGUGAAUACGUUCCCGGGCCUUGUACACACCGCCCGUCAAGCCAUGAAAGCCGGGGGUACCUGAAGUACGUAACCGCAAGGAGCGUCCUAGGGUAAAACUGGUAAUUGGGGCUAAGU